UACGUAGGGGGCAAGCGUUAUCCGGAUUUACUGGGUGUAAAGGGAGCGUAGACGGCUGUGCAAGUCUGAAGUGAAAGGUAUGGGCUCAACCUGUGGACUGCUUUGGAAACUGUGCAGCUAGAGUGUCGGAGAGGUAAGUGGAAUUCCUAGUGUAGCGGUGAAAUGCGUAGAUAUUAGGAGGAACACCAGUGGCGAAGGCGGCUUACUGGACGAUGACUGACGUUGAGGCUCGAAAGCGUGGGGAGCAAACAGG
Molecule: ribosomal RNA, 253 nt
Filed under: Dorea formicigenerans
Lineage: Bacteria; Bacillati; Bacillota; Clostridia; Lachnospirales; Lachnospiraceae
Description: partial 16S ribosomal RNA
Rfam family: Bacterial small subunit ribosomal RNA
Source: RNAcentral